This 253-nucleotide ribosomal RNA is filed under the name uncultured bacterium. RNAcentral's name for it is "partial 16S ribosomal RNA". It matches the Rfam family "Bacterial small subunit ribosomal RNA", at positions 524 to 776 of the family's 1533-position model. The record is from RNAcentral.
UACAGAGGGUGCAAGCGUUAAUCGGAAUUACUGGGCGUAAAGCGUGCGUAGGCGGAUAUUUAAGUCAAAUGUGAAAGCCCCGGGCUUAACCUGGGAAUUGCAUUCGAUACUGGAUGUCUAGAGUAUGGUAGAGGAUGGCGGAAUUUCCGGUGUAGCGGUGAAAUGCGUAGAUAUCGGAAGGAACACCAGUGGCGAAGGCGGCCAUCUGGGCCAAUACUGACGCUGAGGCACGAAAGCGUGGGGAGCGAACAGG